ACGGGAGGCAGCAGUGGGGGAUAUUGCGCAAUGGGGGAAACCCUGAUGCAGCGACGCCGCGUGAGUGAAAAAGUAUUUCGGUAUGUAAAGCUCUAUCAGCAGGAAAGAUAAUGACGGUACCUGACUAAGAAGCACCGGCUAAAUACGUGCCAGCAGCCGCGGUAAUACGUAUGGUGCAAGCGUUAUCCGGAUUUACUGGGUGUAAAGGGAGCGCAGACGGCAUGGCAAGCCAGAUGUGAAAUGUGGGGGCUCAACUCCUGAACUGCAUUUGGAACUGUCAAGCUAGAGUAUCGGAGAGGUAAGUGGAAUUCCUAGUGUAGCGGUGAAAUGCGUAGAUAUUAGGAGGAACACCAGUGGCGAAGGCGGCUUACUGGACGAUAACUGACGUUGAGGCUCGAAAGCGUGGGGAGCAGACAGGAUUAGAUACCCUGGUA
Molecule: ribosomal RNA, 434 nt
Filed under: uncultured bacterium
Lineage: Bacteria
Description: partial 16S ribosomal RNA
Rfam family: Bacterial small subunit ribosomal RNA
Source: RNAcentral